This 491-nucleotide ribosomal RNA is filed under the name uncultured bacterium. RNAcentral's name for it is "bacterial SSU rRNA". It matches the Rfam family "Bacterial small subunit ribosomal RNA", at positions 21 to 507 of the family's 1533-position model. The record is from RNAcentral.
GGCUCAGGAUGAACGCUAGCGGCAGGCUUAAUACAUGCAAGUCGUGGGGCAGCAUGAGUAGCAAUACUUGAUGGCGACCGGCAAACGGGUGAGGAACACGUACACAACCUUCCUUCAAGCGGGGAAUAGCCCAGAGAAAUUUGGAUUAAUACCCAUAAUAUAUUUGAUAAGGCAUCUUAUUAAUAUUAAAGCUUCGGCACUUGAUGAUGGGUGUGCGGCUGAUUAGAUAGUUGGCGGGGUAACGGCCCACCAAGUCUACGAUCAGUAGCUGAUGUGAGAGCAUGAUCAGCCACACGGGCACUGAGACACGGGCCCGACUCCUACGGGAGGCAGCAGUAAGGAAUAUUGGACAAUGGACGAAAGUCUGAUCCAGCCAUGCCGCGUGAAGGAUUAAGGUCCUCUGGAUUGUAAACUUCUUUUAUAUGGGACGAAAAAAGGGCAUUCUUGUUCACUUGACGGUACCAUAUGAAUAAGCACCGGCUAACUCCGUG